GACUGUAAAUCCGCUGGCUACGCCUACGUUGGUUCAAAUCCAACUCGGCCCA
This 52-nucleotide transfer RNA is filed under the name Xenococcus sp. PCC 7305. RNAcentral describes it as "tRNA-Tyr". The record is from RNAcentral. Lineage: Bacteria; Bacillati; Cyanobacteriota; Cyanophyceae; Pleurocapsales; Xenococcaceae.